CACCCGGGUGAGUCCUACACGACGUGCUCCCCGAGAAUCCCCCAGAUCUUGAUCGAAGCAAGGGUAUCGGGUCGUAGCUGUGCGAUGUAGCAAGCUCGCCCACU
Molecule: signal recognition particle RNA, 104 nt
Filed under: human gut metagenome
Description: Bacteroidales small SRP
Rfam family: Bacteroidales small SRP
About the family: The non-coding component of the signal recognition particle in Bacteroides
Source: RNAcentral